AGCGAACGCUGGCGGCAGGCUUAACACAUGCAAGUCGAACGGGCAUCUUCGGAUGUCAGCGGCAGACGGGUGAGUAACACGUGGGAACGUACCCUUCGGUUCGGAACAACUCUGGGAAACUGGAGCUAAUACCGGAUACGCCCUUAUGGGGAAAGGUUUACUGCCGAAGGAUCGGCCCGCGUCUGAUUAGCUAGUUGGUGGGGUAACGGCCUACCAAGGCGACGAUCAGUAGCUGGUCUGAGAGGAUGAUCAGCCACACUGGGACUGAGACACGGCCCAGACUCCUACGGGAGGCAGCAGUGGGGAAUAUUGGACAAUGGGCGCAAGCCUGAUCCAGCCAUGCCGCGUGAGUGAUGAAGGCCUUAGGGUUGUAAAGCUCUUUUGUCCGGGACGAUAAUGACGGUACCGGAAGAAUAAGCCCCGGCUAACUUCGU
This 434-nucleotide ribosomal RNA is filed under the name uncultured bacterium. RNAcentral describes it as "partial 16S ribosomal RNA". It matches the Rfam family "Bacterial small subunit ribosomal RNA", at positions 29 to 506 of the family's 1533-position model. The record is from RNAcentral.